RNAcentral lists this ribosomal RNA (291 nucleotides) under Triticum aestivum (bread wheat). RNAcentral describes it as "partial small subunit ribosomal RNA". The record is from RNAcentral. Lineage: Eukaryota; Viridiplantae; Streptophyta; Magnoliopsida; Poales; Poaceae.
AUGGCGGCAUCGGUGACCUGCGCCUUCUUCUUCGACGCCGAGCUGCUCGCCGAGCCCGGCAUGCCGGCGAUGGACGCGUGCGCGCUCUGCGCCAAGCCGCUGGCGCGCGACAGCGACGUCUUCAUGUACAGAGGGGACACGCCCUUCUGCAGCGAGGAGUGCCGGCACGAGCAGAUGCACCUCGACGCCGUGGGCGCCAGGCAGGCCGCCCGGCGGCUGCAGAGGUUCACGGCGGAGGCGGAGUGCCACCGUGGGCAGAGGCACUCCAGGAAGGUGUCCAUCGCGAGCUAG